Molecule: unclassified non-coding RNA, 294 nt
Filed under: Camillea tinctor
Lineage: Eukaryota; Fungi; Ascomycota; Sordariomycetes; Xylariales; Graphostromataceae
Description: partial internal transcribed spacer region
Rfam family: Eukaryotic small subunit ribosomal RNA (bases 1-46)
Source: RNAcentral
AAGUCGUAACAAGGUCUCCGUUGGUGAACCAGCGGAGGGAUCAUUAGCGAGUUAAUUACAAACUCCAAACCCAUGUGAACUUACCUGCUGUUGCCUCGGCAGGUUGCGCUGCGGAGUGCCUACCCUGGAGUGGCCUACCCUGGAGUAGCUACCCUGUAGUGCCUACCCUGGAGUAGGCACCCCGCAGCGCGCAACCAGACCUGCCAGAGGACUUCUGAACUCUUUUUUACACUGGAACUCUGAAACUAUUAUACAAACAAGUUAAAACUUUCAACAACGGAUCUCUUGGUUCUG